This 500-nucleotide ribosomal RNA is filed under the name uncultured Glomeromycotina. RNAcentral describes it as "partial small subunit ribosomal RNA". It matches the Rfam family "Eukaryotic small subunit ribosomal RNA", at positions 591 to 1092 of the family's 1831-position model. The record is from RNAcentral. Lineage: Eukaryota; Fungi; Glomeromycota.
CCAAUAGCGUAUAUUAAAGUUGUUGCAGUUAAAAAGCUCGUAGUUGAAUUUCGGUAUCAAUAUGUUGGUCGUGCCAUUGGUACGUACUGGCAUUAUUGGUUUCUACCUUCUGAAGAACCUCGAUGUCAUUAAUUUGGUGUCUUGGGGAAUCAGGACUGUUACUUUGAAAAAAUUAGAGUGUUUAAAGCAGGCUCGCGCUUGAAUACAUUAGCAUGGAAUAAUGAAAUAGGACGUUUGAUUCUAUUUUGUUGGUUUCUAGGAUCGACGUAAUGAUUAAUAGGGAUAGUUGGGGGCAUUAGUAUUCAAUUGUCAGAGGUGAAAUUCUUGGAUUUAUUGAAGACUAACUACUGCGAAAGCAUUUGCCAAGGAUGUUUUCAUUAAUCAAGAACGAAAGUUAGGGGAUCGAAGACGAUCAGAUACCGUCGUAGUCUUAACCAUAAACUAUGCCGACUAGGGAUCGGAUGAUGUUAAUUUUUUAAUGACUCAUUCGGCGCCUUACG